This 406-nucleotide ribosomal RNA is filed under the name uncultured bacterium. RNAcentral describes it as "partial 16S ribosomal RNA". It matches the Rfam family "Bacterial small subunit ribosomal RNA", at positions 30 to 526 of the family's 1533-position model. The record is from RNAcentral.
AUUGAACGCUGGCGGCAGGCCUAACACAUGCAAGUCGAACGCGUGGCGGACGGGUGAGUCAUGUCUGGGAAACUGCCCGAUGGAGGGGGAUAACUACUGGACACGGUAGCUAAUACCGCAUACCAUCGGAUGUGCCCAGAUGGGAUUAGCUUGGAGGUGAGGUAACGGCUCACCUAGGCGACUGUCCCUAGCUGGUCUGAGAGGAUGCCCAGUCAAAAUGGAAAUGAGAAAAGGUCCAGAAUCCUACGUGAGUCAGAAGUGGGGAAUAUUGCACAAUGGGCGCAAGCCUGAUGCAGCCAUGCCGCGUGGAUGAAGAAGGCCUUCGGGUUGUAAAGUACUUUCAGCGGGGAGGCGGUACCCGCAGAAGAAGCACCGGCUAACUCCGUGCCAGCAGCCGCGGUAAUUC